RNAcentral lists this ribosomal RNA (301 nucleotides) under uncultured bacterium. Its description in RNAcentral is "partial 16S ribosomal RNA". It matches the Rfam family "Bacterial small subunit ribosomal RNA", at positions 509 to 807 of the family's 1533-position model. The record is from RNAcentral.
CAGCCGCCACGGGAAUACAGAGGGUGCAAGCGUUAAUCGGAAUUACUGGGCGUAAAGCGCGCGUAGGUGGUUUGUUAAGUUGGAUGUGAAAUCCCCGGGCUCAACCUGGGAACUGCAUCCAAAACUGGCAAGCUAGAGUAUGGUAGAGGGUGGUGGAAUUUCCUGUGUAGCGGUGAAAUGCGUAGAUAUAGGAAGGAACACCAGUGGCGAAGGCGACCACCUGGACUGAUACUGACACUGAGGUGCGAAAGCGUGGGGAGCAAACAGGAUUAGAGACCCCAGUAGUCCCUGUCUCUUAUAC